CCUACGGGUGGCUGCAGUGGGGGAUAUUGCACAAUGGGGGAAACCCUGAUGCAGCGACGCCGCGUGUGGGAAGACGGUCUUCUGGAUUGUAAACCACUGUCCCCAGGGACGAAAAUGACGGUACCUGGGGAGGAAGCUCCGGCUAACUAUGUGCCAGCAGCCGCGGUAAUACGUAGGGAGCAAGCGUUGUCCGGAAUUACUGGGUGUAAAGGGAGCGUAGGCGGGGAUGCAAGUUGGGUGUCAGAACUACCGGCUCAACCGAUAGUCGCAGUCCAAACUGCAGCUCUUGAGUGAAGUAGAGGCAGGCGGAAUGCGUGGUGUAGCGGUGAAAUGCGUAGAUAUUAGGAGGAACACCGGUGGCGAAGGCAGCCUGCUGGGCUUUUACUGACGCUGAGGCUCGAAAGUGUGGGGAGCAAACAGGAUUAGAUACCCUGGUAGUC
RNAcentral lists this ribosomal RNA (440 nucleotides) under uncultured bacterium. RNAcentral describes it as "partial 16S ribosomal RNA". It matches the Rfam family "Bacterial small subunit ribosomal RNA", at positions 338 to 795 of the family's 1533-position model. The record is from RNAcentral.